Molecule: ribosomal RNA, 687 nt
Filed under: Staphylococcus aureus
Lineage: Bacteria; Bacillati; Bacillota; Bacilli; Caryophanales; Staphylococcaceae
Description: bacterial SSU rRNA
Rfam family: Bacterial small subunit ribosomal RNA
Source: RNAcentral
GACGGUCUUGCUGUCACUUAUAGAUGGAUCCGCGCUGCAUUAGCUAGUUGGUAAGGUAACGGCUUACCAAGGCAACGAUGCAUAGCCGACCUGAGAGGGUGAUCGGCCACACUGGAACUGAGACACGGUCCAGACUCCUACGGGAGGCAGCAGUAGGGAAUCUUCCGCAAUGGGCGAAAGCCUGACGGAGCAACGCCGCGUGAGUGAUGAAGGUCUUCGGAUCGUAAAACUCUGUUAUUAGGGAAGAACAUAUGUGUAAGUAACUGUGCACAUCUUGACGGUACCUAAUCAGAAAGCCACGGCUAACUACGUGCCAGCAGCCGCGGUAAUACGUAGGUGGCAAGCGUUAUCCGGAAUUAUUGGGCGUAAAGCGCGCGUAGGCGGUUUUUUAAGUCUGAUGUGAAAGCCCACGGCUCAACCGUGGAGGGUCAUUGGAAACUGGAAAACUUGAGUGCAGAAGAGGAAAGUGGAAUUCCAUGUGUAGCGGUGAAAUGCGCAGAGAUAUGGAGGAACACCAGUGGCGAAGGCGACUUUCUGGUCUGUAACUGACGCUGAUGUGCGAAAGCGUGGGGAUCAAACAGGAUUAGAUACCCUGGUAGUCCACGCCGUAAACGAUGAGUGCUAAGUGUUAGGGGGUUUCCGCCCCUUAGUGCUGCAGCUAACGCAUUAAGCACUCCGCCUGGGGAG